This 73-nucleotide transfer RNA is filed under the name Terrestrivirus sp. RNAcentral's name for it is "tRNA-Tyr". Lineage: Varidnaviria; Bamfordvirae; Nucleocytoviricota; Megaviricetes; Imitervirales; Mimiviridae. The record is from RNAcentral.
UCCCCGAGAUGAGAAUCGAACUCAUGCCAAGGGUUUUACAGACCCGUGUGCUAAACCAUUACACCACUCAGGG